This 564-nucleotide ribosomal RNA is filed under the name Triticum aestivum (bread wheat). Its description in RNAcentral is "partial small subunit ribosomal RNA". The record is from RNAcentral. Lineage: Eukaryota; Viridiplantae; Streptophyta; Magnoliopsida; Poales; Poaceae.
AUGAGGAUAACGACCUGGAACUGUCGGGGGUUGGGGAACGGCCUGGCAGUGAGAGGGCUUCUGGAUCUACAGAAGUGGGAGGACCCCGACAUUCUCUUCCUGUCGGAAACAAAGCUAGACAGGAAGCGAAUGGAGAGUUUUAAAUGGAAGCUAGGUAUGAGCAAUAUGAUCGCAAGGAGUUGUGAAGGGAAAAGCGGAGGUUUGGCUUUAUUGUGGAAGAAAGAUGUCAAUAUUGAGCUUCGUAGCCUCUCAAGAUACCACAUAGAUGUGGAAGUUAUUGAGGGAGACGAAUUCAGAUGGCGGUUUACUGGGAUUUAUGGGGAACCAGCAAGCCAAAGGAAAAAUGUGACAUGGAGAUUGCUAAACAUCUUGAAUCAACAGCUGAGACUACCGUGGCUAUGUGCCGGGGAUUUUAACGAAGUACUAUAUACCCAUGAGAAAAGGGGUGGGCCUGAUAGACCACAAGCAGCAAUGGAGAGAUUUAGGUUAGCACUAGCUGAAUGUGGCCUCAGAGAUUUAGGAUACACAGAGAUAAAUUCACGUGGCGAAAUCACAGUCACAUAG